Molecule: long non-coding RNA, 409 nt
Organism: Lolium rigidum
Lineage: Eukaryota; Viridiplantae; Streptophyta; Magnoliopsida; Poales; Poaceae
Exons: 4
Source: RefSeq, a predicted model, not a curated record
CUGCUCGCCCGCGUCCGUCCGCGCGGGUGGUGGCCGAGGGAAGCCAGGACGACGUCGGCCGGGAGAUGCCGCUUCCUCCUCAUCCUCCGUCGCAGCAGCGUCUCCUACGACGUCGAUCUGCACUCCGUCGGCUAGGACACCCGGACAUCGUGAGAUUAGCCCCCCGGCUCCAUUUCCUCCGACGUUGAACCAGGUCGCGCCCGCACGACGCCGGUAGGUCACAAACACUUGAAAUCUCCUGAGAAAUUUAACCACCAUGUCUGCUGCUAUGGUUGCUGUAUCUUUUCAGCGAGGUCAUGUUGGUGUCUUGUGGUGGCGUUUUGUUGGUGGUGCUGUCCAUGGAGAACAACUCUUCAGCGAAGAACAACAUUUGAUUUUGCUCAGGUCAAACAUUUUAUCAAGAAAAUGC